GAUGAACGCUGGCGGCGGGCUUAACACAUGCAAGUCGAACGGAAAGGCACUGCUUUUUUGCGGUGCUCGACUGGCGAACGCGUAAGUAACACGUGAGCAACCUGCCCUAGACUUUGGGAUAACUUCAGGAAACUGGGGUUACUACCGGAUAGGAGCUCCUGCUGCGUGGUGGGGGUUGGAAAGUUGCGGCGGAUUGGGAUGGACUCGCGGGUUAUCAGCUUGUUGGUGGGGUAGUGGCUUACCAGGGCUUUGGCGGGUAGCCGGCCUGAGAGGGUGACCGGGCUCAGUAGGAGUGAGCUACGGCCCAGAGUAGUACGGGAGACAGGAGUAGGGAAUGUUGCACGAUGGACGCAAGCCGGAUGCAGCAACGCGGCGUGCGGGAUGGCGGACUGCGGUUUGAAAAGCGCUUUCGGCUGUGAGGGUGCGUGGGUGACGGUAAUGGAUGAAUAAGCACCGGCUAACUACGUG
This 468-nucleotide ribosomal RNA is filed under the name uncultured bacterium. RNAcentral describes it as "partial 16S ribosomal RNA". It matches the Rfam family "Bacterial small subunit ribosomal RNA", at positions 28 to 507 of the family's 1533-position model. The record is from RNAcentral.